ACGGGUGUGGUGAAAUUAGUUCUUCGGAACGUGGUAAACACGCAACACUUUGGGGUUGUGAAUGAAACAAAUCUUCUUUUAGAUGAUAAGUAGUAAUUCUUGGGGGUUCGACUCCGUCCACCCGUACCA
RNAcentral lists this transfer RNA (129 nucleotides) under bacterium. Its description in RNAcentral is "tRNA-OTHER". The record is from RNAcentral.